GGGAAUAUUGCACAAUGGGCGAAAGCCUGAUGCAGCAACGCCGCGUGAGUGAUGAAGGUCUUCGGAUUGUAAAGCUCUGUCUUUUGGGACGAUAAUGACGGUACCAAAGGAGGAAGCCACGGCUAACUACGUGCCAGCAGCCGCGGUAAUACGUAGGUGGCGAGCGUUGUCCGGAUUUACUGGGCGUAAAGGGUGCGUAGGCGGAUGUUUAAGUGAGAUGUGAAAUACCCGGGCUUAACUUGGGUGCUGCAUUUCAAACUGGAUAUCUAGAGUGCAGGAGAGGAGAAUGGAAUUCCUAGUGUAGCGGUGAAAUGCGUAGAGAUUAGGAAGAACACCAGUGGCGAAGGCGAUUCUCUGGACUGUAACUGACGCUGAGGCACGAAAGCGUGGGUAGCAAACAGGAUUAGAUACCCUGG
This 416-nucleotide ribosomal RNA is filed under the name uncultured bacterium. RNAcentral's name for it is "partial 16S ribosomal RNA". It matches the Rfam family "Bacterial small subunit ribosomal RNA", at positions 357 to 790 of the family's 1533-position model. The record is from RNAcentral.